AGUGAACGCUGGCGGUAGGCCUAACACAUGCAAGUCGAACGGCAGCACAGUAAGAGCUUGCUCUUACGGGUGGCGAGUGGCGGACGGGUGAGGAAUACAUCGGAAUCUACUUUUUCGUGGGGGAUAACGUAGGGAAACUUACGCUAAUACCGCAUACGACCUACGGGUGAAGGCAGGGGAUCUUCGGACCUUGCGCGAUUGAAUGAGCCGAUGUCGGAUUAGCUAGUUGGCGGGGUAAAGGCCCACCAAGGCGACUAUCCGUAGCUGGUCUGAGAGGAUGAUCAGCCACACUGGAACUGAGACACGGUCCAGACUCCUACGGGAGGCAGCAGUGGGGAAUAUUGGACAAUGGGCGCAAGCCUGAUCCAGCCAUACCGCGUGGGUGAAGAAGGCCUUCGGGUUGUAAAGCCCUUUUGUUGGGAAAGAAAAGCAGCAGGUUAAUACCCCGCUGUUCUGACGGUACCCAAAGAAUAAGCACCGGCUAACUUCGUG
Molecule: ribosomal RNA, 492 nt
Filed under: uncultured bacterium
Lineage: Bacteria
Description: partial 16S ribosomal RNA
Rfam family: Bacterial small subunit ribosomal RNA
Source: RNAcentral